This 475-nucleotide ribosomal RNA is filed under the name uncultured bacterium. RNAcentral describes it as "bacterial SSU rRNA". It matches the Rfam family "Bacterial small subunit ribosomal RNA", at positions 30 to 524 of the family's 1533-position model. The record is from RNAcentral.
AUUGAACGCUGGCGGCAUGCCUUACACAUGCAAGUCGAACGGCAGCGCGGGGGCAACCCUGGCGGCGAGUGGCGAACGGGUGAGUAAUAUAUCGGAACGUACCCAAGAGUGGGGGAUAACGUAGCGAAAGUUACGCUAAUACCGCAUACGAUCUAAGGAUGAAAGCAGGGGACCGCAAGGCCUUGUGCUCCUGGAGCGGCCGAUAUGUGAUUAGCUAGUUGGUGGGGUAAAGGCCUACCAAGGCAUCGAUCAGUAGCUGGUCUGAGAGGACGACCAGCCACACUGGGACUGAGAUACGGCCCAGACUCCUACGGGAGGCAGCAGUGGGGAAUAUUGGACAAUGGGGGCAACCCUGAUCCAGCAAUGCCGCGUGAGUGAUGAAGGCCUUAGGGUUGUAAAGCUCUUUUGCCAGGAAGAUGAUGACUGUACCUGGAGAAUAAGCCCCGGCUAACUUCGUGCCAGCAGCCGCGGUAAU